GAUUAACGCUAGCGGCAGGCCUAAUACAUGCAAGUCGAGGGGCAGCAGGGUGUAGCAAUACAUCGCUGGCGACCGGCGCACGGGUGCGUAACACGUAUGCAACCUACCUUUAACUGGGGAAUAGCCCUCCGAAAGGAGGAUUAACACCGCAUAACAUCACGAGACGGCAUCGCCUUGUGAUCAAACCUCCGGGGGUUAAAGAUGGGCAUGCGUCCGAUUAGCUAGUUGGCGGGGUAACGGCCCACCAAGGCGACGAUCGGUAGGGGGUCUGAGAGGAUGAUCCCCCACACUGGUACUGAGACACGGACCAGACUCCUACGGGAGGCAGCAGUAAGGAAUAAUUGGACAAUGGUCGCAAGAACUGAUCCAGCCAUGCCGCGUGCAGGAUGAACGAUCUAUGAUCUGUAAACUGCUUUUGUUUCGGGAAUAAACCCCUUCACGUGUGGAGGGCUGAAUGUACCGGAAAGAAUAAGGGUCGGCUAACUUCGUGCCAGCAGCCG
RNAcentral lists this ribosomal RNA (500 nucleotides) under uncultured bacterium. RNAcentral describes it as "bacterial SSU rRNA". It matches the Rfam family "Bacterial small subunit ribosomal RNA", at positions 28 to 517 of the family's 1533-position model. The record is from RNAcentral.